ACAACUCAGAGGCAGCGUACCCACCUCGAAAAUUAACAGAUAAUGUCAGCACUGAUUAGCUUUAGCUUAACGACAAAUUUUAAUGAUCACGUGCUGCACGUGCUGUAGGCCCGUAUGCUACAUCUCGAAAGGAAUGGCACCACGAGGCGGUGUAGACGUCCUGGCACUUUCAUCCCCCACGUGGCAACUUCGCAUCGGGCCUCCACCAAUUCUCUCUCCAACC
Molecule: long non-coding RNA, 223 nt
Filed under: Elaeis guineensis (African oil palm)
Lineage: Eukaryota; Viridiplantae; Streptophyta; Magnoliopsida; Arecales; Arecaceae
Description: long non-coding RNA (EGUI_LNC000162)
Source: RNAcentral